This 505-nucleotide ribosomal RNA is filed under the name uncultured bacterium. RNAcentral's name for it is "partial 16S ribosomal RNA". It matches the Rfam family "Bacterial small subunit ribosomal RNA", at positions 28 to 507 of the family's 1533-position model. The record is from RNAcentral.
GACGAACGCUGGCGGCGUGCCUAAUACAUGCAAGUAGAACGCACAGUUUAUACCGUAGCUUGCUACACCAUAGACUGUGAGUUGCGAACGGGUGAGUAACGCGUAGGUAACCUGCCUGGUAGCGGGGGAUAACUAUUGGAAACGAUAGCUAAUACCGCAUAAUAUUAAUUAUUGCAUGAUAAUUAAUUGAAAGGUGCAAUUGCACCACUACCAGAUGGACCUGCGUUGUAUUAGCUAGUAGGUGAGGUAACGGCUCACCUAGGCGACGAUACAUAGCCGACCGGAGAGGGUGAUCGGCCACACUGGGACUGAGACACGGCCCAGACUCCUACGGGAGGCAGCAGUAGGGAAUCUUAGGCAAGGGACGAAAGUCUGACCGAGCAACGCCGCGGGAGUGAAGAAGGUUUUCGGAUCGUAAAGCUCUGUUGUAAGAGAAGAACGGGUGUGAGAGUGGAAAGUUCACACUGUGACGGUAUCUUACCAGAAAGGGACGGCUAACUACGUG